AUCAGUAAUGUUUUCACAGCUUUAAUCAAAUCAUUCAUCAUCCAUAAGUUGUGAUGGAAAAGUGUCUGCAAACGUGCAGGAGCCCAUUUUUAGAGAAAUUAAAUGAGGUUAGGUUCGAACUUGAAAUUUUAAUAUAAAAGUUUCAGGUGGUGAUGAAUGUAAGUUUCACAUAGUAGAAAUAUGUGUUUAUCAUUAAUAUUGGUUUUAUUCUGAGUUUAGUGUUUAUUUGUGAGCAUUGUUUUUAUCUCCAUGAUUUUACUCUUUUUGUAUCACAUGUUUUUAGUCUGUUUUUACAUUGUUUUAAUCCACUGUGGAUUGGCUGGGCAUGGGACAAAUUAGCUGAUAGUCAUCACCUGCUGAGGCAUGUGUCUGUCCAGUGGUGUCCUUUCAGCUGUGUUUAAAGGACUUAUUAAAAGGAAGCAAGCUGAGUACUGGAAGGAGAGAGGCCCUAGAUUUGAAUAGGAACGCAUGAAGCCCGUCUGGAGACCGGUCAGCGUGAUGUGGUGACCCAGUCCCAACAGCAGGAACGGCGACAGGAGGAGACAACGCGUGUGAUUGACAUCAGUGCAGAUGUAUACCACUGCCUGCAUCUGUGAUGACGUGAGGGGAGCCGCUGUGGUAUCGAGCGACGGACUCCAAUGCAGAAUGCGAACUGGGCUGGGAUGUGAUGGGGCCCAGUGGACGGACGAGACCGGGACAGGAGGCUCCUAGUCUGCCUGGCACGAUGCUGACGUGGACCUCGCUUAGCAAGAGGAAUUUCUGUCCAGCUCAAGAACACACAAGGAGUAUUCGUCCUGGGUUGUGGGACUGGGUGGGAUUUUUGUGCAUGAAGAGAAUUGUAUUUUUACCAGUUUUAGAAUAAUCUUAUCUAGUCUCGGUGGGAAUUUUAGCAUAUUGAGAAAAAUGUUGUUGUGAAUUGGCUUGAUUUAAAUCAAAUUGAACUGCACUCAAUUAAAACCAAAUAUAACUUGUAAUCAAAUCUAUUCAAAUGUAAAGUCAUCUCACUCAAUUUGGACAACUAGCACUGAAAAAUACACUGACAUCCUCUGUUUCCCAAUUAGCAGAUGAGAGGUUGCUGUUUUAUUCAUGACUCAAUACUUGAAUGGUUUUAUCCUGUUUAUGAAUAAACAUUUUAAAAUGA
Molecule: long non-coding RNA, 1141 nt
Organism: Oreochromis niloticus (Nile tilapia)
Lineage: Eukaryota; Metazoa; Chordata; Actinopteri; Cichliformes; Cichlidae
Exons: 2
Source: RefSeq, a predicted model, not a curated record